This 253-nucleotide ribosomal RNA is filed under the name uncultured bacterium. Its description in RNAcentral is "partial 16S ribosomal RNA". It matches the Rfam family "Bacterial small subunit ribosomal RNA", at positions 524 to 776 of the family's 1533-position model. The record is from RNAcentral.
UACGUAGGUGGCAAGCGUUGUCCGGAUUUAUUGGGUUUAAAGGGUGCGUAGGCGGUCUUCUAAGUCAGUUGUGAAAUACUUCAGCUUAACUGGAGAGGUGCAAUUGAUACUGGAAGACUUGAGUACUGAUGAGGUAGGCGGAAUGGACGGUGUAGCGGUGAAAUGCUUAGAUAUCGUCCAGAACAUCGAUAGCGAAGGCAGCUUACUAAGGAGUAACUGACGCUGAGGCACGAAAGUGUGGGGAUCAAACAGG